Long non-coding RNA from Pleuronectes platessa (European plaice), 960 nucleotides. RefSeq lists it as uncharacterized. The transcript is spliced from 5 exons. NCBI's taxonomy places the organism in Eukaryota, Metazoa, Chordata, Actinopteri, Pleuronectiformes, Pleuronectidae. The record is from RefSeq and is a predicted model, not a curated record.
GACCGAGUGCGCGAGCGGACAUGACGUGUGGCUGUCGUAAAAACCCUAUUUGUAAACAACCAGCCCUUUAACUCGGGGCUGCGUCAUAAACACGGCGCGCUUGGAAGACCACGAUGUCAUCUUCCUUCUGUCAGGAGGAUCCAAGUGAAGCUACAGGAGUUUCAUUAACGUCAACAACUUGGACCAAACAGUUUGUUUUGCUUGAUGAAGAGCAGGAAGGGCAGCCUGGAGAGAAAGAGAAGCCGGGUUGAGCCCACUACCAUCAUCCACGUACCACGAGGAAGAUGAGGGAGAGAAAUGAUCCUACCAUUAAAGAGACUGUGAAAAGAACGUUGAGAACAUCACCACUCUACAGGAAGACACAGUCCAGUAAUGGGUGUCAGAAGUUCAGUAGUGAACGACAGGUACUGUGGAAAAAUAUGUGUCAUUGUUGUACAAUGUCCUUUGACUCUGUUUAAACAAGGUUAACACAAAAAGGUUUGAUUGUAAACUGAUAUCGGUAUGAAUUCAUGUUAUUCUCCUCGUCAAAAGAAACAAACAAUCCAAAUUACCUGCAGAAAGCCCUUGAUGGACGCUUCAGCUGCAUCGUCAGACUGGCAGUACUGAUGCAUUUACUGAGAGGGGACGUGAGGGCCUACUCUGCGUGCUCAGAGUUCAAGCCCAGCAGGCUGCAGCGGGCCUGACAUAUUCUGGAACAGCAGCACAGUCUUUAGAUGACUCCUCUGAAGAUGAAAACAUGGCGAGUUCUUCUCAAGAGAAGCAGUACAGGUGUGCCUCAGCUCCACGGUCCCUCCUGCAGCCUCCGCUCCUGAUGCUAACCUCAUGUCUCCAUCACACCAAGCAGCAGACCUGGAUUGACAGACCUUUCUCCAGAGCUGCCCCCUCCCUCUGAAACCCCCCUCUCCAAAACACUAUUUGUGUAGUUUUUAAAGUAUUUUUUGCAUGAGAAUUGUUGAUCAU